This 418-nucleotide ribosomal RNA is filed under the name Ehrlichia sp. Firat_1. RNAcentral's name for it is "bacterial SSU rRNA". It matches the Rfam family "Bacterial small subunit ribosomal RNA", at positions 60 to 503 of the family's 1533-position model. The record is from RNAcentral. Lineage: Bacteria; Pseudomonadati; Pseudomonadota; Alphaproteobacteria; Rickettsiales; Anaplasmataceae.
AGUCGAACGGACAAUUGUUUAUAUCUUUGGUAUAAAUAAUUGUUAGUGGCAGACGGGUGAGUAAUGCGUAGGAAUCUACCUAGUAGUAUGGAAUAGCCAUUAGAAAUGAUGGGUAAUACUGUAUAAUCCCUGCGGGGGAAAGAUUUAUCGCUAUUAGAUGAGCCUACGUUAGAUUAGCUAGUUGGUAAGGUAAUGGCUUACCAAGGCUAUGAUCUAUAGCUGGUCUGAGAGGACGAUCAGCCACACUGGAACUGAGAUACGGUCCAGACUCCUACGGGAGGCAGCAGUGGGGAAUAUUGGACAAUGGGCGAAAGCCUGAUCCAGCUAUGCCGCGUGAGUGAAGAAGGCCUUCGGGUUGUAAAGCUCUUACAAUAGGGAAGAUAAUGACGGUACCUAUAGAAGAAGUCCCGGUAAACUC